This 70-nucleotide transfer RNA is filed under the name Marmota monax (woodchuck). Its description in RNAcentral is "tRNA.Ala". Lineage: Eukaryota; Metazoa; Chordata; Mammalia; Rodentia; Sciuridae. The record is from RNAcentral.
GGGGUGUGGCUCAGUGGUAGAGCAUUUUCCCAGCAGGCAUGAGGCCCUGGGUCAGUUCCCAGCACCCGCA